RNAcentral lists this transfer RNA (72 nucleotides) under Halothece sp. Uz-M2-17. RNAcentral describes it as "tRNA-Gly". It matches the Rfam family "tRNA". Rfam says of the family: Transfer RNA (tRNA) molecules are approximately 80 nucleotides in length. Their secondary structure includes four short double-helical elements and three loops (D, anti-codon, and T loops). The record is from RNAcentral. Lineage: Bacteria; Bacillati; Cyanobacteriota; Cyanophyceae; Chroococcales; Halothecacae.
GCGGGUAUAGUUCAGUGGUAGAACGUCACCUUCCCAAGGUGAAUGCUAGGGGUUCGAGUCCCCUUACCCGCU